UUUCAGGAUCCGGAUGUUCUACGUCCCGUUUUUGCAUUUGUAGAAGCAGACGAAAAGUUUCAACGUGGUUAGAAUAAUUCCCAUAGCCUACAAUGGGUGAAAGAAAAGGUGUGAAUAAAUAUUACCCACCUGACUAUGAUCCAUCCAAAGGGUCUCUUAACAAAUGGAUUGGUCAGCAUCCUCUUCGAGACCGAGCCCGCAAAAUUCACAAGGGAAUACUUGUUAUUAGGUUUGAAAUGCCUUAUAACAUUUGGUGUAAUGGCUGUAACAAUCACAUUGGCAUGGGUGUGCGAUACAAUGCAGAAAAAAGCAAAGUUGGAAAUUACUACACCACUCCUAUCUACAAGUUUCGCAUGAAAUGUCACUUGUGUGACAACUACUUUGAGAUUCAGACAGACCCAAAGAAUCAUGACUAUGUAAUCCUUGAAGGAGCUCGAAGGAAAGAACAGAGGUGGGACCCUAAGGAAAAUGAACAAAUUGUACCAGAGGAUAAAGGAACACAAAAGAAGCUUGCAACAGACCCAAUGUACAAGCUUGAGCAUGGCAGUGAUGAUCAGUAUCGUGGAAAAUCAUCUGUCCCCAGUAUAGCACAGAUUGAAGAUAUGCGUGAUGCCUGGCAGGAUGAUUAUAUCCUCAACAGAUUAGCUCGUAACAAAUUCAGAGAAGAGAAGAAGCAGAUCAUUGCCAAAUCAAGCAGUAGAUAAGGCUCUACUUAAAAAGUCGUCCCUAGACAUAGAACUUGUUCCUGAAACAGAGCAAGACAGAAGAUUAGCUAGCCUCAUCAAAUACUCUGUCACUAAGUCAUUUGAUGAAAAACAGCAGGAGACAAGGAAAGCUAUUGCAAGUCGACCCCUUUUCAAAGGAACUAAUAAACCGUUGUCCAGUGCUUGUGGACUAUCUGGUGAAGAACUCAACAAAAGAACAGAAAUUAAACAAAAACU
This 941-nucleotide unclassified non-coding RNA is filed under the name Pomacea canaliculata. RNAcentral's name for it is "coiled-coil domain-containing protein 130 homolog, transcript variant X2". The record is from RNAcentral. Lineage: Eukaryota; Metazoa; Mollusca; Gastropoda; Architaenioglossa; Ampullariidae.